Molecule: non-coding RNA, 530 nt
Organism: Parasteatoda tepidariorum (common house spider)
Lineage: Eukaryota; Metazoa; Arthropoda; Arachnida; Araneae; Theridiidae
Source: RefSeq, a predicted model, not a curated record
ACGGGGGAGUAAAAGCCGCUGGCAGUCCCUUUUCUUCAAAUUCACUACGUUGGGAGCUGAAAGCCAGUUUUUCACAUUAUUCUCGUAGAAAUUCUAUAUCAUUCUUCUGGCUGUUCGUGCAUAGCAAAGUGCAUCAGCUAUUUUAAAUUUUUGUUACUUAAAGCUGUGUUUCUACAUCAAUUGGUUAGCAGUUUUAAUUUGAAAAAUGUCUGGUAGACAAGGUGGCAAAAAGAAACCAUUAAAAGCUCCUAAAAAGGAUAAAGGUGAAUGUGAGGAUGAUGCUGAUUACAAGCAAAAGCAAAGAGAACAGGAAAAAGCCUUAAAAGAAGCAAGAGAAAGAGCUGCCAAAGGAGGACCUUUAGGUGUUGGUGGUAUCAAGAAGUCUGGAAAGAAAUGAGAAUAAUUUAAUUUGGAUAAUUUUUGAAGAUGAUGACUUAAAAGAGUUUUCUAAGCGCCAUAUUUGGUUGAAAAAACUAAAAUGUGUUUGUAAAUAUUCAUAUUGGCCUUGAAUAAAAUCUUUUUACUUUUUA